Carassius gibelio (silver crucian carp) is the source of this 363-nucleotide long non-coding RNA. RefSeq lists it as uncharacterized. The record is from RefSeq and is a predicted model, not a curated record. Lineage: Eukaryota; Metazoa; Chordata; Actinopteri; Cypriniformes; Cyprinidae. The transcript is spliced from 3 exons.
AAGCAGUUUUGAACCUUUAAAAAAGUAAACACAUUUGAGGUCAAGCUGGCACAGGGACACUUGAGGAUGUCAGCGUGAAGCAGAAGAACAAGCGCUUGGACGGGAUUAUCCGAACCGUCCUCUUCGCCUGCUGUUGUUCAGGCAGUGAUCUCCAUGCGUCCAAACAUCUCUAUCUCCUUGACUCUGGCUGUACUGUGGACAUCAGUCCGCCCAAGAUGUCCUCAGCUUGACACGUUUGCUCCAGAAUCCUCUGCUCUGGAGUCUUUGGAGUGCCGUAAUGACUACCGCUCUCAUAUCCGCUGCAGCUGGAGAGAAGAUCCUCACGUUCAUCUCUCUCUGCUCCACAUGGAUCCAGAUGACCAC